GCAGAAGUAAAUUACCUGGAGAAUAGAAGAAGGGAGAUGAAGGAAGAACCUCCCUAACACUCUGGCAAUGAGUGCAUUAACCUUAUUAUCAAUAUGUACAUCCCUGGAAAGAAUACUACCAAGACUGUUAUUAAAAGCACACUACAUGUUGAGACUGGAUUGCACAAAGAAGACAUCAGUAAAAGAAAAGUGGGCUACUGGCCAAGUCAACAGCAUGACAGACAAAUAAGCCUGGUAUGAGGAGAGGCUAACUGGCUGGACAUUUAUGUCUCAUCAAAUGAUGCAAAGGCCUAGAAAAAGGCAAUCCAGACGUAGGACAUUGGGUCUGAUUACCCUUCUGGGAGCAGAAAACACGAUUUCCUCGGGCGUGGAGGGAAGUAACAGCAAAUCAGAGACUGCUGCUUAGAGUCAAGCCUGCGCUCCACACCGGGCAGAGGAACGAUGCCUUCUUUGUCAGCCUUUGUCAGUCAGACAGUCAACAAGCGUUUAAUUAAUGCUUUCACAGCUAUGCUAAGCUCCGGACGUAUAAAGACAGGCCCUCGAGGACCUCACAUUCUAAUGAGGAAAGACAACAUGACGAUAAGUGUGUACAUUAUGCAUCUCUCUGUAGGUGUAUAUACGUAUAUAUGCAUACAUCCGCCCAUAUGUACGCAUAUACACACAAAUGGAGGGUAAUUUGGAGGUUGACAAGCUUCCUUUUACGUCAGAGCUCUUCUUCUCUUGAUCGUUCCAUCCCCUGGUCCUGGCUCCUGACACCUGGAUCCUCCUGGAAUGAUCCUUACUAUCCUAUCCAGUACCCAUUCUACUUUGUCUUCCGCCUUGACUUACCUGUCAUGGGGUGGGGAAUGGUGGAGUUGGAACACUCCUUGAUCCCCAUUACUGCUUUGAGAGUCUCCCUCUGCUGUUAUGCUCAGUAAAUUUCCUCCUGAGGUUCAUUCUAUCCCAUUUUUUCCCCCAGUCCAAAUCCUGGUGACUAUUAUAUGCUAACCCCCAGGAUAUUCUCCAGACAGUCUCACUGAGUUUAGAGUUUCCUUUCUCCACCUUUUGUUCUCACGAGAGAGAGAGAGAGAGAGA
Phascolarctos cinereus (koala) is the source of this 1074-nucleotide long non-coding RNA. RefSeq lists it as uncharacterized. The record is from RefSeq and is a predicted model, not a curated record. NCBI's taxonomy places the organism in Eukaryota, Metazoa, Chordata, Mammalia, Diprotodontia, Phascolarctidae.